Molecule: RNA transcript, 3395 nt
Organism: Macadamia integrifolia
Lineage: Eukaryota; Viridiplantae; Streptophyta; Magnoliopsida; Proteales; Proteaceae
Exons: 16
Source: RefSeq, a predicted model, not a curated record
AAACGGGGACAGAAAAGCAACACGUUCGUUAAGCUUCGUUUCCCGUUCCCUUCUCUUCUUAACGUUAGCUUUUCACAAUUUUACGCGCUAAUCCUCUCGAAGCCCUAUAAUUGUAAAUAUCCCUCCCACCCUCCCGGGAAAAAAAAAAAAACCCUUUAAAAUCCUAUUGAAGCAGGUAUCUUGGGGAGCAAGUGAGCAUCAUAAUUUGUGUCAUCGCGUCUCAAAAUUCCAAUUCGUUUAAAUUGUUUCUUUCAGUUCAUUGGGAUCCCAUUGUAAUCGCUCUUAGAGUGAUAACAUUAUGCUUCUAGGGUUUUUUCUAGACGAGAACUAGGGUUUUGAUUGGCGAAAAAGAGCAGUUUGCGAUUAUACAUAUUGAACCUUUACUUUAGAGUCUCCUCGGGGAAGAGACGGAGAAAGUUGGAGGACCGUUUGGAGCUUCCGAUUUGAUGGAGGCUGCGGCCGGGAUUGCCGCUGUGCGCGGUGGUUCAUUGCCGAUCCUGUCUUCUCAGUCUGCGAGGAAAGAAUGGCGAGCUGUUUCCGAAAAUUCGGUUCGGAACGCCGGCCAUGAGGACGUGGUGGUUGGACAGGAGUUGGAGUGUUCGAAGUUGGGGCAGUCAGAUGAGAGAACGAUAUAUGAGGUGCAGCAGGGAGCGAGACCCCAUGAAGCUGACUUCUGUUCGAUUACGUUGAACGGAAGCCUCGAUAACGACAUAUUACGGCAACGACUUCUUAGUAUCACUAGACGGAGAGAAGAGCUUCAACAAGUGGAGAUCGAGCUUAAAGCCCAGACUAUAGCUAGAUCGGAGAUAAUGGAGAUGCAGAGUAACUUUGAUGCGCAGAUAAGAGAACAUGCCAAUGCUGCAGCCAAACUGAAGGAACAACUACAAGAAAGGGAACAAACCAUACAUGAAUUGGAAGCAAAGAUGGAAGAGAAGGAAAGAGAGCUGCGUGCAAUUAAAAUUGAUAAUGAAGCGGCCUGGGCUAAAGAGGACCUUCUCAGAGAACAAAACAAAGAGUUGGCGACCAUUCGAAGAGAGCGUGAUAACUCUGAAGUUGAAAGAGCACAGCAUCUCAAACAAAUGCAUGAGCUUAAAGAGCAUAUUCAAGAAAAAGAUAGGCAGCUUCUUGAAUGGGAAGAACAGAAUAGGGUUACACAGGAAGCUAUACUUUAUAAAGAUGAACAAUUAAGGGAGGCCCAAGCUUGGAUUGCACGUGUUCAGGAAAUGGAUGCAUUGCAAUCAACAACCAAUCAUUCCUUACAAGCUGAACUGAGAGAACGUACUGAACAAUUUAACCAGAUUUGGCUUGGUUGUCAAAGACAGUUUGCAGAUAUUGAGCAGAUGCAUUUGCACACCAUACAACAGCUUCAGUUAGAGUUGGCUGAGGCAAGAGAAAGGAGUGGGAUUUAUAACGAUGAGUCACGGAUGGCUCAUCCAGCUGCAGAGGAUGCAUCCCCUUUUGGGCAGAACAAGGGAAACCAACUCAAUGUAAUUGAUGGUGGAACGUUAAAUGGUAACCUUGGAGCUCCACCAAAUGGGAAUGUAGACAAUGUUGCUCCUUUUGUCACAAUUGGAAAUUCAUCUACCAAGAAUGAUCAUGCCUCUGGAGUUCCGGUUGUCCCGUCUUCGCUACUUGGAGUGGAAACCUACCUUCCACCUCCUGGACAGAUGACAGCACUUCACCCUUUUAUUAUGCAUCAACAAGGUGUUCUUCAGUCUGUACCAUCUACCAAUUCACAUGUGCCUCUAUCUAAUGUGAACCAUUUUCUGCCAGUGCCUGCAAUGUCAUCCCACCCACACUGGCAGUAUCAGCAGGCUGUAUCGGAUGGUUCACAUAUGUCAAAUCAGAACCAAUAUCAGCCAUCCCAAACAGAACAGAGUCUUUUGAGGUCUGAUGCCCAUUACGAGUAUGCACUUACUGGAAAUGAUCAAGUUCUCCAUUCGGACUAUCUGGACACUGAUAUCAGCUCAAACCAGGAGCCUGGUUCUGAAAUCACUUCAUCCAGUGAGGAAGCACAGCUUCAUGAAUCAAGUGGUGAAGGCUACUUGAAGACGCAGCAACCACAGAACUCACAAGAAACCUCUGCCCUGUUUCAUGAUGCAUCAAGAUUGGAACCUCCUGAGCAGAAGAAUGAGACCAAGGAUCAAAACAUUGCUGAAGCCAACCAUUCACAUGAUGGUCAGUGUUCAAAUGCAGAACAAUCAUGGUCUGCGAUUCAUACAUCACUGUCUGAUACCCCAAGCCUUCCAGUUAAUUCCAGUGAAACCAGAGACUUCUAUAUGGUUGUGCCUGAAGCUUCUAUCUCUGCUGGACGGGCAUUGAAUGUGUUGACACCAGGAAAGAUUUCUGAACCUAGUCUUCUAGAUGAAAAAUCACUGUUGGUUUGUAUUGUUCGUGCAAUACCUGCUGGAUCUGGUGGCAGAAUUAGAAUUAGUUCCACUCUUCUGAAUAGACUUGGAAAGAUGCUGGCUCCUCUCCAUUGGCAUGAUUACAAGAAAAUAUAUGGAAAGCUUGAUGACUUUGUGGCUGGUCAUCCUGAAUUAUUUGUAAUUGAAGGGGACUUUAUUCUGCUUCGUGAAGGAGCACAAGAAAUCAUUUCAGCUACGGCAGCUGUUGCCAAAGUUGCUGCUGCAGCUGCGGUUUCUGCUCCUUAUUCAUCCUUGUUGCCAUCUGUUGCUGUUACUCCCAUGGCACAGACUCAUCGUUUAAAGAAGGUUCCGUCCAUUGACGCCAAGCCUGUGAAAGUUGUUUCAACAGAAACAACUAUUACAACUCCUGGAGAUGUAUCUGACAAGCUUUCGCAAUAUUCAGCUAUGCAAAAUCAGCAUUCAAAUGGUGUCUGUUUUAACAUUGUUCAAGGUCUCUCAAAUGUAAAAAUUUUGAGCAAACCUAAAGAUGUUCAGGAAUCAAAUGGCUUUCAAUCUGGUAUUAGGGCUGGCCAUUCUUCAGUGCAUUCGUCUGUUGGAAAUGGAGCAAAUCCUGACAGAACAGGUUUAGCUAGCUUUCCAAACAAAGGAUCAAGUAAUGGGAGACAUGGCACAAAUUUUGAAGGGAAACAACAGGGAAGAGCAAUGUCUGGUGCCUUAACAUCUAGAAGAUAGUAAGUAUUCUCAUUCUUUCCAUGUGCCCAACUUCAAAAGAAAUAUUUAAGGAACCAAGUUUGAUGUUGUGAAGACAAUAUUUAUAAUUAUAAUGGAGCUGAAUCAUCCAGUGCCUGCUUAGAUUGGUGGAAGUACAAGUAUUUGUUGUUUUCUCAAGUUGAUGUUUCUGGCUCUACUAUAAUCUCCUCAUUUUGGGAUGGCCUGCUGGGUAAUUGUUUAUCAUUAUUCUUAGAUUAAUUCUUCAUUUUGGGGUGGCUCAGCAGAUUAAGUAUCCAUCUAUAGUUUUUUUUUUCC